GAUAUACAAAUGAAAAAUGUUAAGCAUCAAGGAGUGGAGGCUGUUGCUUACUUCCUCAAAAUAUGUUCCAUCACAAGAUAAGAUUAGAGAUGAUAAAAUAUCGAGUAUGAUAUAAUGUUGAGCCCUGAUAAUCUUUUGAACAGACAGAAUCAGUUAAUUUCAUGCAAAGGAAAUAAUCAUGGACACCUAAACCAGAGAGAAAACCACCACAUGCAUAUGGAAGUAAAGCUAUCUUCAUCAAAUAAGGUCCACUCUGCAUCACAUAAAGCUAACAUAUCAAAGAGUUAUAAGACACCAAACAACAAAACCAAUAGAGGUAUGUUCUUUUAUAUGGAAAAGCAAAUAAAUAAUCAUAACAACAAUUCUUUUGAUGAUCCUGCUAAUGCUUUACAAGACCAUCUCAAGAGGGUCCAGGAAAUAUUACAUAGAGAUAAACAGAGGAAAAAAGAGUAAGAAGGUUAAAUGCUUUAAGCACCAAUUAUGUAGAUUUGUUCAGUUCCCAUCCCCCACCUGAAACCUUGAACACAGACCACAAAAUAAAAAUAAAAAAGUGAAUAAUAUCUACUUUUGAAUUGCUUAACAAGCGGCACCACCUACAAGUAAAUAAUAGGCUAACUAGCUAAGAAUAAGUAGCCUUUUUCUCACUGUAUUUGCAACACAUCCAGUAAGGGUUCUCUUCUUAAAUGUGAAAGGAAAAAAAUAAAACCACAACUGUCUAUGCAUGUAUACAGUCACAAGCCAAAUUGCUAUAUCUCCUUGUUGAAAGUUAAAAAAUUUUAAAAGAUUUUUCGGAAUCAAUCUUAAAUCAGUGUUUUUAUCCACAACAAAAAUGAGCCAACUUUAUUAUUAUGAGCCGUUUGACCCUCGCACAAAAUUAUAAUUUGGCAUUGUCUCCUAACAAGUUCCAAAUAAGUUCUAUUAUCA
Molecule: unclassified non-coding RNA, 924 nt
Filed under: Hevea brasiliensis (rubber tree)
Lineage: Eukaryota; Viridiplantae; Streptophyta; Magnoliopsida; Malpighiales; Euphorbiaceae
Source: RNAcentral